Molecule: unclassified non-coding RNA, 192 nt
Filed under: uncultured Cortinarius
Lineage: Eukaryota; Fungi; Basidiomycota; Agaricomycetes; Agaricales; Cortinariaceae
Description: sequence contains ITS2
Source: RNAcentral
AUAUAUAUAUAUAUCAACCAGUCUUCUCGAGUGGUUUGGAUGUGGGGGGUUUGCUGGCCUUUACAAAGGGUCCAGCUCUCCUGAAAUGCAUUAGCGGAACAACCUGUUCAUUCAUUGGUGUGAUAACUAUCUACGCUAUUGAGUGUGAGGCAGUUCAGCUUCCUAACAGUCCCUUGGACGAUUCAUCAUUUU